RNAcentral lists this ribosomal RNA (497 nucleotides) under uncultured bacterium. Its description in RNAcentral is "partial 16S ribosomal RNA". It matches the Rfam family "Bacterial small subunit ribosomal RNA", at positions 28 to 507 of the family's 1533-position model. The record is from RNAcentral.
GAUGAACGCUGGCGGCGUGCCUAAUACAUGCAAGUCGAGCGAACAGACGAGGACCUUGCUCCUCUGACGUUAGCGGCGGACAGGUGAGUAACACGUGGAUAACCGACCGAUAAGACUGGGAUAACUGCGGGAAACCCGAGCUAAUACCGGAUAAUAUAGUGAACCGCAUGGUUCAAUAGUGAAAAACGGUUUUGCUGUCACUUAUAGAUCUAUCCGCGCCGCAUUAGCUAGUUGGUAAGGUAACGGCUUACCAAGCCAACGAUGCGUAGCCGACCUGAGAGGGUGAUCGGCCACACGGGAACUGAGACCCGGUCCAGACUCCUACGGGAGGAAGCAGUAGGGAAUCUUGCGCAAUGGGCGAAGGCCUGACGGGGCAACGCCGCGUGAGUGAUGAAGUUCUUCGGAUCUUAAACCUCUGUUAUUAGGGAAGACAAAAUGUGUAAGUAACUAUGCACGUCUUGACGGUACCUAAUCAGAAAGCCACGGCUAACUACGUG